Non-coding RNA from Aphanomyces astaci, 65 nucleotides. The record is from Rfam. NCBI's taxonomy places the organism in Eukaryota, Oomycota, Saprolegniomycetes, Saprolegniales, Verrucalvaceae.
GACGUUUGGCGCAAUGGAAGCGCGCCUGCUUGCAGGAGACCUGGGUUCGAUUCCCAGCGAUGUCA